Molecule: ribosomal RNA, 440 nt
Filed under: uncultured bacterium
Lineage: Bacteria
Description: partial 16S ribosomal RNA
Rfam family: Bacterial small subunit ribosomal RNA
Source: RNAcentral
CCUACGGGAGGCAGCAGUGGGGAAUAUUGCACAAUGGGGGAAACCCUGAUGCAGCGACGCCGCGUGAGCGAUGAAGUAUUUCGGUAUGUAAAGCUCUAUCAGCAGGGAAGAAAAUGACGGUACCUGACUAAGAAGCCCCGGCUAACUACGUGCCAGCAGCCGCGGUAAUACGUAGGGGGCAAGCGUUAUCCGGAUUUACUGGGUGUAAAGGGGGCGUAGACGGGUGUGCGAGCCAGAUGUGAAAGCCCGGGGCUUAAACCCGGGACUGCAUUUGGAACUGUGUGGCUGGAGUGUCAGAGAGGCAGGUGGAAUUCCAAGUGUAGCGGUGAAAUGCGUAGAUAUUAGGAAGAACACCAGUGGCGAAGGCGGCCUGCUGGACGAUGACUGACGUUGAGGCACGAAAGCGUGGGGAGCAAACAGGAUUAGAUACCCGAGUAGUC